GACGAACGCUGGCGGCGUGCUUAAAACAUGCAAGUCGAACGGACUUCUCAUGAAGCUUGCGAUUGAGAAGUUAGUGGCGGACGGGUGAGUAACGCGUGGGCAACCUGCCCCUGAGCCCGGGAUAACAGUUCGAAAGGACUGCUAAGACCGGAUAUACUUGCGGUGAAGCAUUUCACUGCAAGGAAAGGGAACGCUCAGGGAUGGGGCCCGCGUCCCAUUAGCUAGUUGGUGAGGUAACGGCCCACCAAGGCGACGAUGGGUAGCCGGCCUGAGAGGGUGAACGGCCACACUGGGACUGAGACACGGCCCAGACUCCUACGGGAGGCAGCAGUUGGGAAUCUUCGGCAAUGGGCCAAGCCUGACCGAGCAACGCCGCGUGAGUGAUGAAGGUUUUCGGAUUGUAAAGCUCUGUCUUCCGGGACGAUAAUGACGGUACCGGAGGAGGAAGCCACGGCUAACUACGUG
This 465-nucleotide ribosomal RNA is filed under the name uncultured bacterium. Its description in RNAcentral is "bacterial SSU rRNA". It matches the Rfam family "Bacterial small subunit ribosomal RNA", at positions 28 to 507 of the family's 1533-position model. The record is from RNAcentral.